This 564-nucleotide ribosomal RNA is filed under the name Triticum aestivum (bread wheat). RNAcentral's name for it is "partial small subunit ribosomal RNA". The record is from RNAcentral. Lineage: Eukaryota; Viridiplantae; Streptophyta; Magnoliopsida; Poales; Poaceae.
AUGUGCAGACACCAAAUGCUUCUAGCUCUGAUGUGCAGAAUUCAAUCCCAUCAGUGCCAAACUUUGACAACACUCCUCAAGUUGAAAGGCCUAGCAACCUCCCAACCGCAACAUUUGACACAGCUCCAAAGCUCCCUAGGGCAAACGACCAUUCCGGGGCUUGUGUUUGAUGUGUCCCGCAUCUCAUUCAAAAACGCUUCCUCCGAUGGACCUCAAGUAGUAAUGGAUUUGCACGAGACAACCGAGGAGAAUGUUGCGGUCAGGGGUGAGUCCAACAGUCUUGGUAAACAGUCAAAGAAGAAAAGGGUGGCUCUCUCCCCAGACAAUGUGCCAACGAUGAAGAAGAUUAAGGUUGAUGCACACGAUGAUGCCUUACACCAUCAGUAUGUAAUGACCAGAUACAAGACAAGAAAACCAAAGAAAAACGAGCUUCUGCCCGACUUCAUUGAAAUAGAUGGCUUCCAUACAUCUCUCGAGAAUUUUCAUGCAUUUCUAAAGCCAAGAGCGGAGAUUGACAAUGAGGUCAUGACCUUAUACCUGAAGACAUUCAACUAUGAUCAGUAA